CCUACGGGAGGCAGCAGUGAGGAAUAUUGGUCAAUGGACGAGAGUCUGAACCAGCCAAGUAGCGUUAAGGAUGACUGCCCUAUGGGUUGUAAACUUCUUUUAUAUGGGAAUAAAAUGUUCCACGUGUGGGAUUUUGUAUGUACCAUAUGAAUAAGGCUCGGCUAACUCCGUGCCAGCAGCCGCGGUAAUACGGAGGAUCCGAGCGUUAUCCGGAUUUCUUGGGUUUAAAGGGAGCGUAGGUGGAUUGUUAAGUCAGUUGUGAAAGUUUGCGGCUCAACCGUAAAAUUGCAGUUGAAACUGGCAGUCUUGAGUACAGUAGAGGUGGGCGGAAUGCGUGGUGUAGCGGUGAAAUGCUUAGAUAUCACGAAGAACUCCGAUUGCGAAGGCAGCUCACUGGACUGCAACUGACACUGAGGCUCGAAAGUGUGGGUAUCAAACAGGAUUAGAUACCCUUGUAGUC
This 460-nucleotide ribosomal RNA is filed under the name uncultured bacterium. RNAcentral's name for it is "partial 16S ribosomal RNA". It matches the Rfam family "Bacterial small subunit ribosomal RNA", at positions 338 to 795 of the family's 1533-position model. The record is from RNAcentral.